This 27-nucleotide non-coding RNA is filed under the name Rattus norvegicus (Norway rat). The record is from RNAcentral. Lineage: Eukaryota; Metazoa; Chordata; Mammalia; Rodentia; Muridae.
UAGCUCAAAGUAACAGUACCACCACCA